AAACAGGAUUUUACUUGAAAAAUUAGAGUGCUCCAGGCAGGCCUAUGCUCGAAUACAUUAGCAUGGAAUAAUAAAAUAGGACGUGCGGUUCUAUUUUGUUGGUUUCUAGGACCGCCGUAAUGAUUAAUAGGGACAGUCGGGGGCAUCAGUAUUCAAUUGUCAGAGGUGAAAUUCUUGGAUUUAUUGAAGACUAAUUCUGCGAAAGCAUUUGCCAAGGAUGUUUUCAUUAAUCAGGAACGAAAGUUAGGGGAUCGAAGACGAUCAGAUACCGUCGUAGUCUUAACCGUAAACGAUGCCGACUAGGGAUCGGACGGUGUUAU
This 320-nucleotide ribosomal RNA is filed under the name Acremonium sclerotigenum. RNAcentral describes it as "SSU rRNA". It matches the Rfam family "Eukaryotic small subunit ribosomal RNA", at positions 743 to 1066 of the family's 1831-position model. Lineage: Eukaryota; Fungi; Ascomycota; Sordariomycetes; Hypocreales; Bionectriaceae. The record is from RNAcentral.